RNAcentral lists this ribosomal RNA (404 nucleotides) under Actinomycetes bacterium. RNAcentral describes it as "Actinobacteria bacterium partial 16S ribosomal RNA". It matches the Rfam family "Bacterial small subunit ribosomal RNA", at positions 355 to 776 of the family's 1533-position model. The record is from RNAcentral. Lineage: Bacteria; Bacillati; Actinomycetota; Actinomycetes.
UGGGGAAUAUUGGACAAUGGGCGCAAGCCUGAUCCAGCCAUGCCGCGUGAGUGAUGAAGGCCCUAGGGUUGUAAAGCUCUUUCACCGGUGAAGAUAAUGACGGUAACCGGAGAAGAAGCCCCGGCUAACUUCGUGCCAGCAGCCGCGGUAAUACGAAGGGGGCUAGCGUUAUUCGGAUUUACUGGGCGUAAAGCGCACGUAGGCGGACUUUUAAGUCAGGGGUGAAAUCCCGGGGCUCAACCCCGGAACUGCCUUUGAUACUGGAAGUCUUGAGUAUGGUAGAGGUGAGUGGAAUUCCGAGUGUAGAGGUGAAAUUCAUAGAUAUUCGGGGGAACACCAGUGGCGAAGGCGGCUCACUGGACCAUUACUGACGCUGAGGUGCGAAAGCGUGGGGAGCAAACAGG